This 474-nucleotide ribosomal RNA is filed under the name uncultured bacterium. Its description in RNAcentral is "bacterial SSU rRNA". It matches the Rfam family "Bacterial small subunit ribosomal RNA", at positions 33 to 518 of the family's 1533-position model. The record is from RNAcentral.
ACGCUGGCGGCGUGCCUAACACAUGCAAGUCGAACGGAGAUACGAUUUCGGUUGUAUCUUAGUGGCGAACGGGUGAGUAACGCGUGAGCAACCUGACUCUUAGAGGGGGGAUAACACUGGGAAACGAGUGCUAAUACCGCAUAAGACCACGACAUGGCAUCAUGACGAGGUCAAAGGAGCAAUCCGCUGAGAGAGGGGCUCGCGUCCCAUUUAGAUAGAUGGCGGGGUAACGGCCCACCAUGUCAACGAUGGGUAGCCGAGCUGAGAGGCUGAUCGGCCACACUGGAACUGAGACACGGUCCAGACUCCUACGGGAGGCAGCAGUGGGGAAUAUUGGGCAAUGGGCCGCAAGCCUGACCCAGCAACGCCGCGUGAGGGAAGAAGGCUUUCGGGUUGUAAACCUCUGUCCUUGGUGACGAAACAAAUGACGGUAGCCAAGGAGGAAGCCCCGGCUAACUACGUGCCAGCCGCCGC